GUUGAACGCUGGCGGCAUGCCUUACACAUGCAAAUCGAACGGUAACGCGCCUUCCUUGGCCGACGAGUGUUAGGCGCGUGCGUGAUACAACCGCACGUGCCCGAUCCUGGUGGAUAAGGAAGCGAAAGCGUUGCCAAGACCUCAUACGAGCUACGGUCGAGAGCCGGGGACCGCAAUGCCUUGCGCCGGCGUAGCGGCCGGUGGUAGAUUGGGGAGUUGGUGGGGUGAAAGCUUAUCAAGGCGACGAUGUGGAGGUGGUCUGAGAGGAUGAUCAGCCACACUGGAACUGAGACACGGCCCAGACUCCUACGGGAGGCAGCAGUAGGGAAUUUUGGGCAAUGGGCGGAAGCCUGAUGCAGCCAUGCCGCGUGCGUGAUGAAGGCCUUCGGGUCGUAAACUGCUUUUAUACGGAACGAACAGCCUUCUUUUAAUACAGGAGGGUCAUGACGGUACCGUAAGAAUAAGCACCGGCUAACUACGUG
This 482-nucleotide ribosomal RNA is filed under the name uncultured bacterium. Its description in RNAcentral is "partial 16S ribosomal RNA". It matches the Rfam family "Bacterial small subunit ribosomal RNA", at positions 28 to 507 of the family's 1533-position model. The record is from RNAcentral.